This is a long non-coding RNA of Cimex lectularius (bed bug), 319 nucleotides long. RefSeq lists it as uncharacterized. The record is from RefSeq and is a predicted model, not a curated record. The transcript has 3 exons. NCBI's taxonomy places the organism in Eukaryota, Metazoa, Arthropoda, Insecta, Hemiptera, Cimicidae.
ACAAUUUCGACGACAAAAUCAGAAAUAAUUCGCCGGUUGGGUGGCAACGCUGCUGCCGCGUCCUUAUGACCAGCUGGCGAGUGGUGAGCCAUUGCUUCUCCCCUAUUCAUGUCAGCACUCCAUAUAUCAAAAUACAAUUUUCUUAUUUCCACUUCUGAACAACAGUGUUUUGUCUUCACGAGAAGCAAUACCAACUUGGAUCCUUGGGAAUUAUGAUGUACGUUCUGCUUCUUCGCUGACUUGUUUCAUGUCCAUGGCAUUUGAGUUUUUAAAAACGACAUGAAUCAUCUAUUUUUCUUUUUCUGCUUUUCUUUUGUAA